RNAcentral lists this ribosomal RNA (164 nucleotides) under Leochilus leochilinus. Its description in RNAcentral is "5.8S ribosomal RNA". It matches the Rfam family "5.8S ribosomal RNA". From Rfam's summary of the family: 5.8S ribosomal RNA (5.8S rRNA) is a component of the large subunit of the eukaryotic ribosome. It is transcribed by RNA polymerase I as part of the 45S precursor that also contains 18S and 28S rRNA. Functionally, it is thought that 5.8S rRNA may be involved in ribosome translocation. The record is from RNAcentral. Lineage: Eukaryota; Viridiplantae; Streptophyta; Magnoliopsida; Asparagales; Orchidaceae.
GACACGACUCUCGACAAUGGAUAUCUUGGCUCUUGCAUCGAUGAAGAGCGCAGCGAAAUGCGAUACGUGGUGCGAAUUGCAGAAUCCCGCGAACCAUCGAGUCUUUGAACGCAAGUUGCGUCCGAGGCCAGCCGGCUAAGGGCGCGUCCGCCUGGGCGUCAAGC